ACCUGGCUGGCUCAGUUGGUAUAGCAUGUGACUCUUGCUCUCAGGGUUGUGAGUUUGAGUCUAAUGCUGGGUG
Molecule: transfer RNA, 73 nt
Filed under: Ailuropoda melanoleuca (giant panda)
Lineage: Eukaryota; Metazoa; Chordata; Mammalia; Carnivora; Ursidae
Rfam family: tRNA
About the family: Transfer RNA (tRNA) molecules are approximately 80 nucleotides in length.
Source: Rfam by way of RNAcentral